Molecule: ribosomal RNA, 394 nt
Filed under: uncultured bacterium
Lineage: Bacteria
Description: bacterial SSU rRNA
Rfam family: Bacterial small subunit ribosomal RNA
Source: RNAcentral
UAACAUCCGGAAACGGGUGCUAAUACCGCAUAGUUUUCUUGAUCGCAUGAUCGGGAAAGGAAAGACGGCCUUUGUGCUGUCGCUUAUGGAUGGACCCGCGGCGUAUUAGUUAGUUGGUGAGGUAACGGCUCACCAAGACGAUGAUACGUAGCCGACCUGAGAGGGUGAUCGGCCACAUUGGGACUGAGACACGGCCCAAACUCCUACGGGAGGCAGCAGUAGGGAAUCUUCCGCAAUGGACGAAAGUCUGACGGAGCAACGCCGCGUGAGUGAAGGAAAAGGUUUUCGGUAUCGUAAAACUCUGUUGUCAGAGAAGAACAAGUUGGAGAGUAACUGCUCCAGCCUUGACGGUAUCUGACCAGAAAGCCACGGCUAACUACGUGCCAGCAGCCGC